This 1021-nucleotide long non-coding RNA is filed under the name Chinchilla lanigera (long-tailed chinchilla). Its description in RNAcentral is "lncRNA (ENSCLAG00000026143.1)". Lineage: Eukaryota; Metazoa; Chordata; Mammalia; Rodentia; Chinchillidae. The record is from RNAcentral.
CACUGUCAUCACCAUCAUCACAAUUAUCAUCACCAUCAUUCUCAUCAUCACUGACAGCAUCACUAUUGUCACCAUAGUCACCAUCACCAUUGACAUCAUCACCACCAUCAUCACCACAGUCAGUGCCGUGAUCACCAUCAUCCUCCCCAUCCUCACUAUCAUCAAUGCCAUCAUCACCACCAUGGCAAUGGCAGCAGGACACAGAGCACAUUUAUAAACUGACUUCUAUCUUUUAAAUACAUCAUUAAUCCUCCAAACAAACCUACAAAGUCCACCAAAAUUGUUUUCAUGUAGGAAAAAUACGGGCUUAGAUCAAUCAGGGUAUGUAGGAAGCUUGUGCAGCUCCUCCCAUUAGAAGGGAAUAAAUCAACUCUUUCACCCACGUGUUUUUUGAUGCUGCAGUUCUUUUUCCCCCUAAGCACACCAUCUCGAAACCAGAAAUGUUACAGUCAGCAUUCACAACCAGCUCCAAUGGGUGUGUCCAUACUUCAGAAACGAGGAACGUGACAGAAGUCAGAGUUAAAGAGGACACGCACGCUUCUGCCUUUAGACUCAGGGUUCACAUGCCUGGAAACACCUGGGGCCUCGACCCUGAUCAAAGACGACCUUCGAGGAAGACAAGCACUGGGGCUAGAGCUGCCAUCUUGGACCAUGGAGCCAUCUGACAGAAGGAUGCUGGCCUAGGAUCAUGCAGGGCCAUACAUGGCAAGAGUGUUCCAGUGAUUAGUUUGAGCUCCAACACUUUUGGUGCCAUCCAGUCUACCUGAGAACACCUGAAUAAAAUCUACUUUCUCAUCUAUGCAAAGACCCAAGGGAUGCAGCAAAGCCAUGUGAAAUCUCCAAACGUUGGAAAAGAUCAGUGUUAAGACCAGAGAAUCACUUGCAGGCUGCUGUGUACACCCGGACGGACACACAGAGAUGAAACCACCGCACAAGAACACCUGCAUUUUUUAGUCAAAGCAACUUUCAUUCAAAGAAAUACAAAUUAAUUUAACAUGAAUAAAAUAUCACUCAAAUGGUA